GGUAGAGAGAAGCUUGCUUCUCUUGAGAGCGGCGGACGGGUGAGUAAUGCCUAGGAAUCUGCCUGGUAGUGGGGGAUAACGCUCGGAAACGGACGCUAAUACCGCAUACGUCCUACGGGAGAAAGCAGGGGACCUUCGGGCCUUGCGCUAUCAGAUGAGCCUAGGUCGGAUUAGCUAGUUGGUGAGGUAAUGGCUCACCAAGGCGACGAUCCGUAACUGGUCUGAGAGGAUGAUCAGUCACACUGGAACUGAGACACGGUCCAGACUCCUACGGGAGGCAGCAGUGGGGAAUAUUGGACAAUGGGCGAAAGCCUGAUCCAGCCAUGCCGCGUGUGUGAAGAAGGUCUUCGGAUUGUAAAGCACUUUAAGUUGGGAGGAAGGGCAUUAACCUAAUACG
This 397-nucleotide ribosomal RNA is filed under the name Pseudomonas sp. LR82. RNAcentral describes it as "bacterial SSU rRNA". It matches the Rfam family "Bacterial small subunit ribosomal RNA", at positions 68 to 467 of the family's 1533-position model. The record is from RNAcentral. Lineage: Bacteria; Pseudomonadati; Pseudomonadota; Gammaproteobacteria; Pseudomonadales; Pseudomonadaceae.